UGAAUCAGUAGUACGGUGG
RNAcentral lists this unclassified non-coding RNA (19 nucleotides) under Chlamydomonas reinhardtii. RNAcentral describes it as "small RNA Cre_2856". Lineage: Eukaryota; Viridiplantae; Chlorophyta; Chlorophyceae; Chlamydomonadales; Chlamydomonadaceae. The record is from RNAcentral.